Chelonoidis abingdonii (Abingdon island giant tortoise) is the source of this 888-nucleotide non-coding RNA. NCBI's taxonomy places the organism in Eukaryota, Metazoa, Chordata, Testudines, Testudinidae. The record is from RefSeq and is a predicted model, not a curated record.
GUCUCCUUCCCCAGGGGACAGCAGAGAGGACCCCAGUGCCCCACAGAGAGACUCGCUCUAUGAGGAAAUCCCAUGUGCCGGGGAGAUUCCCUGCCCCUCGGACAACGACGGGCAACUAUUAUAACAGCCCCAAGGACUAUUGUAACUGAGAUCCCUGCCGUUCACAGUCCCCUCCGCGCCACUGCAACCCGGAUCUUGAUAAGAGUCCCCCGCUCACGCCCCAGGCAGUGUUCACCCUCCUCCAUGAGCUGGGGAAACCCCCGAGAACCCACGCAUCCUAACUCCCAGCCCUUCUUCCAUCUCGCAGCAGAGCCGAGCCGAGCCCCAGGGCAGGCCCCCCUUGGGCCACACGAACUGGGCAUUUCUGGGGCAGUUUAACUGUAGCUUUGAUUUUCCAGGCUGUGUUGGCUUUCGGGAGGUGGGUCAGCCUAGGAGAUAGAGAACAGAACUGGGAGAGAGGCAAACUGGGGUUUGCCUGCCCAUGGGCAACUCACAGCCUUGCUCCGUGCCUCAGUUUCCCUGUCUGUCCUAGAGGGGUAAUGAUCCUGUCCUCCUGUGUGCAACACUUGGAGAUCUCUGGCCAGAAAGCUCCAGACACGGGCAGGGUGUCGUUACUGACCCCACUGCUGUUUUCUUUCAGUUCCAGCCCCUUUCUCAGCUUUAACACAGUUUUCGUCAGGGAAUUGCCUUCGUUUUGUUUCCUGUGAUUGGAUAAUAAAGUGGUUUUCCAAAACCAUCAACUUGGGUGACUGCUGCUGGACAGAGAAGGUUUGCUGAGGGCAGGGGGCUCCGAGGCUCGAAAGCUAAAGGAAAAAAUGACACAGCAAGCAGCCUUUCAAAGUUUUUUUUUUAGCAGAUGCCUCAACUGGGAGAAUUAAAAAAAAAAAA